This 254-nucleotide ribosomal RNA is filed under the name uncultured bacterium. RNAcentral describes it as "partial 16S ribosomal RNA". It matches the Rfam family "Bacterial small subunit ribosomal RNA", at positions 524 to 776 of the family's 1533-position model. The record is from RNAcentral.
UACGAAGGGGGCUAGCGUUGCUCGGAAUCACUGGGCGUAAAGCGCACGUAGGCGGAUCUUUAAGUCAGGGGUGAAAUCCUGGAGCUCAACUCCAGAACUGCCUUUGAUACUGGGGAUCUCGAGUCCGGAAGAGGUAAGUGGAACUCCGAGUGUAGAGGUGAAAUUCGUAGAUAUUCGGAAGAACACCAGUGGCGAAGGCGGCUUACUGGUCCGGUACUGACGCUGAGGAGCGAAAGCGUGGGGGAGCAAACAGG